This 2904-nucleotide ribosomal RNA is filed under the name Escherichia coli. RNAcentral describes it as "23S ribosomal RNA". It matches the Rfam family "Bacterial large subunit ribosomal RNA". Lineage: Bacteria; Pseudomonadati; Pseudomonadota; Gammaproteobacteria; Enterobacterales; Enterobacteriaceae. The record is from RNAcentral.
GGUUAAGCGACUAAGCGUACACGGUGGAUGCCCUGGCAGUCAGAGGCGAUGAAGGACGUGCUAAUCUGCGAUAAGCGUCGGUAAGGUGAUAUGAACCGUUAUAACCGGCGAUUUCCGAAUGGGGAAACCCAGUGUGUUUCGACACACUAUCAUUAACUGAAUCCAUAGGUUAAUGAGGCGAACCGGGGGAACUGAAACAUCUAAGUACCCCGAGGAAAAGAAAUCAACCGAGAUUCCCCCAGUAGCGGCGAGCGAACGGGGAGCAGCCCAGAGCCUGAAUCAGUGUGUGUGUUAGUGGAAGCGUCUGGAAAGGCGCGCGAUACAGGGUGACAGCCCCGUACACAAAAAUGCACAUGCUGUGAGCUCGAUGAGUAGGGCGGGACACGUGGUAUCCUGUCUGAAUAUGGGGGGACCAUCCUCCAAGGCUAAAUACUCCUGACUGACCGAUAGUGAACCAGUACCGUGAGGGAAAGGCGAAAAGAACCCCGGCGAGGGGAGUGAAAAAGAACCUGAAACCGUGUACGUACAAGCAGUGGGAGCACGCUUAGGCGUGUGACUGCGUACCUUUUGUAUAAUGGGUCAGCGACUUAUAUUCUGUAGCAAGGUUAACCGAAUAGGGGAGCCGAAGGGAAACCGAGUCUUAACUGGGCGUUAAGUUGCAGGGUAUAGACCCGAAACCCGGUGAUCUAGCCAUGGGCAGGUUGAAGGUUGGGUAACACUAACUGGAGGACCGAACCGACUAAUGUUGAAAAAUUAGCGGAUGACUUGUGGCUGGGGGUGAAAGGCCAAUCAAACCGGGAGAUAGCUGGUUCUCCCCGAAAGCUAUUUAGGUAGCGCCUCGUGAAUUCAUCUCCGGGGGUAGAGCACUGUUUCGGCAAGGGGGUCAUCCCGACUUACCAACCCGAUGCAAACUGCGAAUACCGGAGAAUGUUAUCACGGGAGACACACGGCGGGUGCUAACGUCCGUCGUGAAGAGGGAAACAACCCAGACCGCCAGCUAAGGUCCCAAAGUCAUGGUUAAGUGGGAAACGAUGUGGGAAGGCCCAGACAGCCAGGAUGUUGGCUUAGAAGCAGCCAUCAUUUAAAGAAAGCGUAAUAGCUCACUGGUCGAGUCGGCCUGCGCGGAAGAUGUAACGGGGCUAAACCAUGCACCGAAGCUGCGGCAGCGACGCUGAUGCGUUGUUGGGUAGGGGAGCGUUCUGUAAGCCUGUGAAGGUGUGCUGUGAGGCAUGCUGGAGGUAUCAGAAGUGCGAAUGCUGACAUAAGUAACGAUAAAGCGGGUGAAAAGCCCGCUCGCCGGAAGACCAAGGGUUCCUGUCCAACGUUAAUCGGGGCAGGGUGAGUCGACCCCUAAGGCGAGGCCGAAAGGCGUAGUCGAUGGGAAACAGGUUAAUAUUCCUGUACUUGGUGUUACUGCGAAGGGGGGACGGAGAAGGCUAUGUUGGCCGGGCGACGGUUGUCCCGGUUUAAGCGUGUAGGCUGGUUUUCCAGGCAAAUCCGGAAAAUCAAGGCUGAGGCGUGAUGACGAGGCACUACGGUGCUGAAGCAACAAAUGCCCUGCUUCCAGGAAAAGCCUCUAAGCAUCAGGUAACAUCAAAUCGUACCCCAAACCGACACAGGUGGUCAGGUAGAGAAUACCAAGGCGCUUGAGAGAACUCGGGUGAAGGAACUAGGCAAAAUGGUGCCGUAACUUCGGGAGAAGGCACGCUGAUAUGUAGGUGAGGUCCCUCGCGGAUGGAGCUGAAAUCAGUCGAAGAUACCAGCUGGCUGCAACUGUUUAUUAAAAACACAGCACUGUGCAAACACGAAAGUGGACGUAUACGGUGUGACGCCUGCCCGGUGCCGGAAGGUUAAUUGAUGGGGUCAGCGCAAGCGAAGCUCUUGAUCGAAGCCCCGGUAAACGGCGGCCGUAACUAUAACGGUCCUAAGGUAGCGAAAUUCCUUGUCGGGUAAGUUCCGACCUGCACGAAUGGCGUAAUGAUGGCCAGGCUGUCUCCACCCGAGACUCAGUGAAAUUGAACUCGCUGUGAAGAUGCAGUGUACCCGCGGCAAGACGGAAAGACCCCGUGAACCUUUACUAUAGCUUGACACUGAACAUUGAGCCUUGAUGUGUAGGAUAGGUGGGAGGCUUUGAAGUGUGGACGCCAGUCUGCAUGGAGCCGACCUUGAAAUACCACCCUUUAAUGUUUGAUGUUCUAACGUUGACCCGUAAUCCGGGUUGCGGACAGUGUCUGGUGGGUAGUUUGACUGGGGCGGUCUCCUCCUAAAGAGUAACGGAGGAGCACGAAGGUUGGCUAAUCCUGGUCGGACAUCAGGAGGUUAGUGCAAUGGCAUAAGCCAGCUUGACUGCGAGCGUGACGGCGCGAGCAGGUGCGAAAGCAGGUCAUAGUGAUCCGGUGGUUCUGAAUGGAAGGGCCAUCGCUCAACGGAUAAAAGGUACUCCGGGGAUAACAGGCUGAUACCGCCCAAGAGUUCAUAUCGACGGCGGUGUUUGGCACCUCGAUGUCGGCUCAUCACAUCCUGGGGCUGAAGUAGGUCCCAAGGGUAUGGCUGUUCGCCAUUUAAAGUGGUACGCGAGCUGGGUUUAGAACGUCGUGAGACAGUUCGGUCCCUAUCUGCCGUGGGCGCUGGAGAACUGAGGGGGGCUGCUCCUAGUACGAGAGGACCGGAGUGGACGCAUCACUGGUGUUCGGGUUGUCAUGCCAAUGGCACUGCCCGGUAGCUAAAUGCGGAAGAGAUAAGUGCUGAAAGCAUCUAAGCACGAAACUUGCCCCGAGAUGAGUUCUCCCUGACUCCUUGAGAGUCCUGAAGGAACGUUGAAGACGACGACGUUGAUAGGCCGGGUGUGUAAGCGCAGCGAUGCGUUGAGCUAACCGGUACUAAUGAACCGUGAGGCUUAACCUU